GACGAACGCUGGCGGCGUGCUUAACACAUGCAAGUCGAACGGAAAGGCCCUGCUUUUGUGGGGUGCUCGAGUGGCGAACGGGUGAGUAACACGUGAGUAACCUGCCCUUGACUUUGGGAUAACUUCAGGAAACUGGGGCUAAUACCGGAUAGGAGCUCCUGCUGCAUGGUGGGGGUUGGAAAGUUUCGGCGGUUGGGGAUGGACUCGCGGCUUAUCAGCUUGUUGGUGGGGUAGUGGCUUACCAAGGCUUUGACGGGUAGCCGGCCUGGGAGGGUGACCGGCCACAUGGGGAUGGAGAUACGGCCCAGAUUCCUACGGGAGGAAGCAGUGGGGAAUAUUGCACAAGGGGCGAAAGCCGGAUGCAGCAACGCCGCGUGCGGGAUGACGGCCUUCGGGUUGUAAACCGCUUUCGCCUGUGACGAAGCGUGAGUGACGGUAAUGGGUAAAGAAGCACCGGCUAACUACGU
RNAcentral lists this ribosomal RNA (467 nucleotides) under uncultured bacterium. RNAcentral describes it as "partial 16S ribosomal RNA". It matches the Rfam family "Bacterial small subunit ribosomal RNA", at positions 28 to 506 of the family's 1533-position model. The record is from RNAcentral.